GAUGCAGAGCAAUGACAGAGGUGGUAAUAAAUGACAAAGAAGGAGUUGAAAAAGAAGAGAUUGUUUUCAGCAAAUUGAAGGCGUUGAUUCUGUGUGAUUUAGAAAGUCUCACAAGUUUCUGCUCUGCCAAUUACACCUUCAGAUUCCCAUCUUUGGAAUAUCUGGAAGUGAUUGGUUGUCCCAAGAUGAAGAUUUUCACUACAGGAGAAUCAAUCACGCCUCCGAGAGUAGACGUCCAGUAUGGAGAGACAUCGAAUCAACGGCGUUGGGCUAAUAAUGAUCUAAACACAACCAUACAACAAUUACAUGCUGAGAAGGUACGGAUAUACAUAUUACUCUCUAUCUCCCAUGAUAAAUUUUUACAAAAUUUGCUUUUUCUUUUUAAAUAAAAUAUAGAUAAAAUGUUUGUUAUAAAGUAAAAGUUUAAAUUGAUGAAUAAGAAUUUUAUUUUCAGCUGUUGGCGGGGUCGUCGAUAUACUCUACGCAGUACGACUAAUUUCAUAGGCUUCUUAUGACUUGGAGUUGCGAAUUUUAUUUAAUUUAUUUAAUCCCAUGGCUUGUUUCGCAAUUUCAUCUUAAUUAUUUAGAAUAGGUCCCUCGGUUUACUGUUAAACUAGGAAAUAGAACCGCGCUUCGCGCGGCUUUAAAAAUAUCAAAUUAAAAAUAAAAAAUUUGAUGAAAUUCAAAUUUCUUAAGAUAACCUUCUGAUCUCUUCUCAAAAGGAAGAUUAAACAAGUUAAUUUUGUAUGUUUAUUUCAAUAAUAAUAACGAUCGCACAUAAUAAUAAUAAUAAUAAAAAUAAUAAUAAUAAUAAUAAUUGGCACCUGACGACGUUGAGGCUCAUGAGCAUUCCACAAAAUAUAAGUUUCAAUUGCAUCGAGCCCUCCAUCCUUUGCCUUCUGUAUAAGAUCUGGCCACAUCUGCACAAAUAUAACGCAUAUAGAAAUAAAUCAUAUCAAAUUUUACAUAUUUUAAGAAUAAUAAUGCUGUUGGAUCCAAAAAUAUUGCCCAUAAUUUUUCCUAAACAUGAAAGCGCACCGUUUUGAAUGUGGGAUCAUGUUUGGCUUGUUAGGAAAAAAAAUUAAGAUAAUAUUUUUGCAACAAAGUAGCUUUUUUUUUUUUGGUUAAAAGAAGAAGAAAAUGUGAAAGUGCAAGUGAUUUGAGAAAUUGUAAAUUAAUUAUUUGCAUACAGUACUUGUGGACUACUGCGAAAAUAUAAUGAAUUGCACCAGAGAAGAUAACUCGUCGUUCUCCAUUAAUUAUAAUGGUAGUUGCAUCAUAAUCGACUUGUGUUGCUGAUGAUGACAAGCAACUUAAAUUUAGAAUAAGAAGAAUUAUGCCUUAGUGGCAUUGUUGAGGGAAGAUGAAAGAACCUCUCUUCCUAUGUUAAUUAAUUAAUGUAUUUUAAGCCGCUAAAGUUUAAUUGCUAGUAUAAUAAAAUUUGAAGAAGCCAAAAGACACUAAAUAAAAGGUUGCAUAAUUAAAUAUGAGAUUAUGGCAUUAAAAUUAGGCCCUUAUGACAUUGUUGAAGGAAGAUGAAAGAGCCUCUCUUCAUAUGUUAAUUAAUUGAUGUAUUUUAAGCUACUAAAGUUUAAUUGCUAGCAUAAUAAAAUAAAUGAAUGUUUCAAAAGAUUUAUUAUUAAUUAUUAUUCAUGAUUAUAUAUUGUUGGAUUUCAAUAGAAAGAGGAAGAGACAUGAAAAUUAAACUUAGGCCCUAGCUGCAUUAUUGAGGGAAGAUGAAAGAACCCCUCUUCCUAUGUUAAUUAAUUGAUGUAUUUUAAGCAACUAAAGUUUAAUUGCUAGCAUAAUAAAAUAAAUGAAUAUUUCAAAAGACUUAUAAUUAAUUGUUAUUAAUGGUUACAUAUUGUUGGAUUUAAAUAGAAAGAGGAAGAAAUAAUGAUGCCACAAAUCUUAAAUAUUUAAUGUUUAUAGAGUUUGAAGAAGCCAAAAGGCACUAAACAAAAUAUUGAAUAAUUAAAUAUGGGAUCAUGACAUUAAAAUUGGGCUCUAAUGGCAUUGUUGACAUUAAAAUUGGACUUAUAAUUAAUUAUUAUUAAUGAUUACAUAUUGUUGAAUUUAAAUAGAAAGAGAAAAAAAGUACAAAGAAUAUUCACCAAUAUUUUAGAUAUUUUAGAUAAUAGAAAAUAUAAAAAGAUGAGGAAUGAUAUAUAUUAAUAAAGUUACUAUUUAUUAAAUGAGUUAAAUACAAUCAAAUUAAUUAUGAGAAGAUGAAAAGCUAAAUCUAAAAAAAAUUCUCUAUUUAUUAGAUAAUAGAGAAUAUACAAAGAAGCAAAAUGGUGAUGCCACAUCACCUCCUCAAGUCCUAGCUUUAUAUAGAUAUAUAGAUAUAUAGAUAGAUAGAUAUAGAUUUGCAAUGCAAUUUUAAUGAUCCCUUCAGACUUUUAUGGACAGAUUUUGCAUAAUUGAAUGUCUUUUUAGUCUAGUUUAAUUUGAGUCUUUUUCUUCUUCUUUUUUUUUUUUUUUUGGGAGCUCCCCUCGUCUUCUAAAAUUUUAUAACUCCUUGCAUACGUUUUUAUGAUAAAAUUUCAUUAAAAGCCUUCGUAUUUUAUAAUUCGUUGAAAACAUGCAUACUUUUUCCAUUCUUUCUUUGCCAAUUAUUUAUUCUCAUCAUUGCUGUUCUUUUAUUUUAGUUUGUGUUCUGUUUGUUCAUUGGGUUUGCUUUUCUUCACGCCUAUAUUUCCUUGGAAAGUUAGAAGGCAAGGAAAGUACUUAGAAAAUGUUCUUGUUCUUCCCUAUGAACACAUAAUUAAAGAACAGCUGAAUAUCAUUCAUCGGACUAAAAAAAUUUAAAAAAAAAAACGUAAUCAGUGCAUUGUUCCUAUAACAAAUGCUUAAACCAUCAAAUGUUAGCUAUGAACAAGUAUAUUGUGGAAAUAUUGUUUGAAAAUAUUUCAUAAAAAAUCAAGUUUUCACAAACCAAAAAGGGACUAAUUUGGUCUAGCAUAUUCAUAAUAUUUUCUCCACUGUUCCUGUUAAAAUUUCUCUACUCUAUGAUUGCAGAAUGUUUGGAUACUGAUGACGAUUUAAGUCACUCUUCUUCUGUGCGCAAUUUGAAAUAAGGUCGUUUUUCUUUUUUCCUCUAUUCAAAGUUUACAUUCUGAGGGGUUCCCGUUUCCAUCUUCGUGAUCUUCUUGUGAUUCACUGCAUCGUGUCGCUACAUCUGUGAUAGUGUGAGUUGCAACCUGUCUGUUUUCUUUGUUUGAUCAUUGUAUGUAUUAAAAAAGUUUACAUUUCAUUCUAGAUAAGCUCUUUGUAUGUAUUAAAAAAAUUUUAUUCUCAAUAUAUAUGACUCAAUGAGAGGUCUUUUAUUAUAUAUAUGUCAUGAAUUUCUAUUGUAUUUUGAGAUUUGAUGGUGUAUUAUUGUCUCAUUGCAAGGUCUUGUAAUCACUCUGAUUCUCAUUUGAGGAGGUUGGUCUCGUCUAUGUGUAUGUAUUUAUAUCCACAAGAAAUUUGAUAAAUGGUCUUGUCGUUUUCUCAUUAAAACAUCUAGUGCUUCAUGGGUUGGAGGGCUACUAGGCAUCAGGGCCAGAUCUUUAAACUCAAAGUUCUUCGUGUCAUUUACCCAUUUGAUUAUCAAAUAGUCAUAAAAGCAUAUAAAUUCAAGUUAGUGUAUCAUUUUUACACAAUAUACUAAAACUAACACAAGAACUUGGCCGACAUUUUCAGUUGAAUAACUCAGACCCCCGAACUUCCUCGGGCUGACAUCCCAAAGUGAAAAUGUCUAAAAAAAUAGUUGCAACAUUUACCCAUUUGAUUAUGAUUCAAAAAAAAACACAAACGGAGAAAUUAUUGGGAUUGUUAAGAUAGUUAAAAUGGUUAGUUAUUGUUUCAGUUUGUUAAGCAAGAUAGGUAGAGUUACUGACGUGUUAGCUGAGCUGGCAUAAGUUAUUCAACUCUCAGGUGCUUAGAAACCUUGUAUAAAUACAUUUGUAAUCAGCUAAAGAAUGGAUGAUUCAGAUUUAUUCAUCAAAUCCAGCUCUUAGAUGAUCUCUGUUCUUUCUUUCAUUUUCUCUCAUUUUCUUACUUAUCAAACAGAUUAGAAACUUUAACUUGGUAUCAGAGCCUGAAAGGUUUGGUAGUUGUUCUGUUUUAUCUUCAGUUUCAUUUUGUGAUCACAGAAACGUUAGGACUUGCUUGCAUGAACGCACAUUAAACCACGGAAAUUUUGUCAGACAUGCACGCAAAUGAAAUUUUAUCAGCAGUCUUGUAAUUUUCUAUUUUUGUUGUUGUCGUCAUUUUUUUACUACUAGUACUGUUUGAAAUUCUAGUAUUUUGGAUGUGAAAUUUAUUAUAUUAUGAUAGGUCCCAGUCAGAAUUAGCGGAAACAACAAGUAAAUAAUUUGUUCUUCUUAGGGUAAGAACUACCGCAAUUGCUAAUUGAAUUAGAUAAAAGUCUGAUAUCUUUUUAUUGAAUUAUUCGAGUCUAUUUAUAGAACAAAAUUAAUGAAAUAAAGUAGUUAAAAUCAAUUAAACCACUUAGCUAUAAUUUCGAAGUAAAUAAUAAUCUUAAAGGAAUCAUGAUUAAAUCUGAAUUCUUCAUCAAUACGGCUUGACUUAGUAAGCUUUCCGUUGAUUUUGUGAAGAGUCCUUGAAGGAACGUGAUGCCCACCUCAUGCAUGGCUUGCAUGUUACUUGCAUGUGCCCAUACAUUUUCGUUAUUGGCUUGCAUGGUUGCUUGCAUGUGCCCAUGCAUAUUCGUCAUAUUUGUUGUUGGGUUUUGCUUCUCACUUGGACUUGCGUAUACUCUUAUCAUAUUAGAUAUUCGACAUAUAUAUGAUGCUGAAUACAGGGUAUGUGUUGUCUAAAUUUAUUUUAUUUUGUUUGCUUCACAUCCAAUUUUCAAAAGCUUUGAAGAAUGCUAAGAGAAGGAGCAAAGGGCUAAAGAGUCAAAUGUAACAUUGCUAUUAAUUUGUUAAUUGCCAUCAUUUUUAAUUUUUGCCCUGCUUGUUCUGUUUACUCAUUUAUUUCACUUGGUUUUGCUCCACGUCUAUCUUUCCUAACUUAGGAAGGCAAGGAUUUUGAAAGUUCUGAAGAAGAUUCAGGUCACUCGUGUGAAUAAGAGCUGUGUUACUGUUUAAAAGUUUUCAUGCUCUGGAAUAAAAUUUGCUUUACUGUGUUACUGGUCAACUUCAUUAUUCUACUAAUGCUUUACUUCAUCUUCAUUGUAUCACUACAUUGACAGCGUUGACAGUGUAAGAGUCGUUUUCACGAUUUUUAAGAAAUUUUGAUCACAUUAAACUUUUGAUCUGAGUUCAUAACAAAAAUCAAAACGGCGCAUGACAUCAAGAUUAUGAUGAAUCAAAUUGAACUCCCAAUACGUUAGUUCAUAAAAAAUGCUUUUCUUCUUCCAAGUAAUCUUAUCAUUUCUUUCAUUUUAUUCAUUCUCCUCUUUUCUCCUCUUUUCAAGUCUUCAAUCUUAUACUCAGUAAGUACAUUACUGAACUGCUUUUUCACCUCAGCUCCAGACAACCGAGAAGGUGCUUGUCCGGUUGUCCCCACUCUCUAGUUUUAUCAGAUGGCACUAUAUUUUCGGAACCUAUGAUUUGUUGGUAAAAAUCGACGGUGACCCACGUGACAAUUUUCUACUAUGUAUCAACCAAUUAGAUCUAGUGUUUUGUUGGCAAACAAGAAAUGCUUAUUUACCUUUAAUACUCCACCCAAACAAGUUGGCAUAUGCUAGAAAGUCGGAGAUAGUCCAUAACAAUGCUGCGUGUGACUUGAACAUUUGAUUAUGUGAUGCAUUAUGCAUCAUUCCAACCAUACUAGCAUCACUACCCGAGUCAUGACUAACCUGUUUCUUAGUUAGAUUUCAAAGAUGAAGAUGGCUCACCCUCCAAUAUCCAGUUUUAAUACUUUAACCAAUAGCCAUUUAUAAUGAUAUGGUCUCUUGCCACUUUCCUUAUAAGGAAAUAUCGAUAUUACGACACUUCUUAGAAGGACAAUAAAUUCUUUUAUCACCAACAACAUUCUCAAAUGCAAAAUCUAUAAAUUUUUUGACCCAUCAGUAUAUGAAUUGGAUAUCUAUUUGGCAAACCAACCCAACUCUGGUCCAUGACUAUGUCCUUUUAAUGCACUAGAAAAAUUAGUUAAAUAAAUCACUUUAAUUCUUCAUUUCUACUACUAAACAAGAUAUUUUCAUGUGUGCGCAGUUUCGCAAUAUAAUAAAAAAAAUUAUUAUACAAUUUUAUGGUUAAUCUCAUUAGAACGUUUAUAUAUAUGGAAGCAAGCAAAGCCACAAGAAUCAGAGAAAAAGAUGUGAAAAUUAAAGUAUAUAUACAACAAUAAUUAAUCUAAAAAACAGUUUGCAAUACCUUCUGUAAAGAAAUAUCCUCACCCACUGCUGAGAACUUCACUUGGCUAUCAAUUACAGAUAUAUAAAGCCUGUUACCUAGAAACAAAAAAUUAGGUCAGCCAGCUAAAACAUAUUUAUAAACCAACAUUGGAGAUAGUACUCCAUUUAUAAACAAAAUUACAAGACUCAAAACCAAGUCGACUCAGCAAAAUCAUAACCGAUUACAUUCAUCCCACUCAGCUCCUCCACUCCCAUCAAUAUAUCCAACAUUCCCUUCAUAUUUACAAAAGGUAAGUGGUCCUAUAUAUCCCACUCAAGAAUGCAUAAGUUUCUUCAAUCUUAAGUAUCUAAAGUUUUCCUCUACGUUUAUAGAAACUUCGGAAGCAUCUCCCUAUAGUUCUUCAAGUACACGACAUAGAUAUAUGAAUGUUUAUGUGUUAUGCCAAAACAACACAUGACACCCAUUUGUCUAGUAUGCACCCAGAGAACAUGAGGAGCAGCUGCUGAAAAACCCAUUUUUACGUGGGAAAAAAAUUUCAGGCACUAGCUGCCAUAGAAAUCUAUGCAUUACCAAACUGUCCAAGCCUAGAUAUUUCAAGAAUUAUUAAUAGACAUAAGAUCCUCACUAUCAUCCAAAAGAUGACACUAAUAAAACAUGUGUCUAUUAAUAAUUUCUUAAAGGAGUUUAAGCUUUCAAUGCAUGUAUCAAAAGUUUAAAAUUGAAUCUGAAACUUGAAUAACACAUAAAAAUCAUAAAUCUCUUCAAUUUAUUCCUAAUAAAAUGUAGCAUUUUUUCACAUUUCAUUUCUUAAGCAAAACCAUAAAAAAUUACAAACAAUAAAUACAUUUUCUAGCACUGAUGCACAUUAUGUUUACUGAGCAAUAAGUUUUAAGUCAUUCAUAUUAAAAUACUUCUUCCUAUUCUAUCAACAAAUAACUAGUACGUACACACAAUUAAUAAAUUAAAUGUAACCUGGUUGUGAAUCUUGCAAAGUCUUCCUAUUUUUUUUUUUUUUUUUUGGUGGGGGGGGGGGGGGAGGGGGGAGGGGGUGGUUAUGCUCAUUUGUGUGUUGUUAACAGAAAUUGAUCCAAAGCCUCAGUUUUAAUUAGCUUCAUUAUAGCCAAUGAUUAGGUGUUUAAAAACCAAUGAAUAUUUUUUAUAAGAAAUCAACAAUAUUGUUGAAAGAAAAACCAAAUAAAAAUAAUAAAGCAAUGCAUAGAUUAAGGCUCUUUAUUAUCUAAUAACUAAUCAAACUAAGUUGUGGGUAAAGGAGAAUAUGUUUGUUUGGCCAAUAAUAAACUCAAGGAAUCACCAAUAAUCACCUAGUUACUAUUCCUUAUGCCAUGCAAUGUAAUGGCGUCGGUAAUGGCGACAAGGCAGGCAAUAACUAGCUAGCUAGUUAUGAUAGUUGCUUAACUUAACCUACUGGAAAUCUGAAGACCAAAAUGAAGAAACUUUGCCUAGAACUAGAAUAGGAAAACAUUCAUACCCAAAACCAAUAUACAUGAUUAAGAAACUUGAUUAUAUGUAUAUUUUUGUUUGCCACACCAAAUCCCACUAUUUCCAUACUCAUAAGCACAAAAAACCAUCGCAAAAAUGAAUGACCAUAUAAAAUAAAAUAGGUCGCAGGACAUUGAGAAUAGGACAAUAUGAUUUAUGUACUGUAAAAUAACUAUAUCUGCAGUCAACUAUAUUUCUGUUAGAACUCUAAAGUUUUCCAUUAAAUUUUUUUCCCUGUUAGGUAAACCACUUAACUGAAACACUUAAGCAAGAUUGACAAUCAUAGACAUAAAAGUAUUAAUAGGCUCAUUCAAGUGAAAUGAGCAUUAUUUCACAUAUCCUUUAGGCUUUUAAGUCAUUUAGAAGUCAUUCAUGUUAAACAAUUUCUUCAUAUACUUUCAAUAUAAUUAGUACAUACACAAUUAAUUAAUUAAAUAAAUCUGUUUCAGCUAGCACAGGAACUUAAGCAAUCAGAGCUAUUAGUUAUAGCUAGGACUUGAAUGAGGCACCUUUCAAAGUUCAAGAGGAGCAUCUGAACAGAAUGAAAGCAGUUUGUAGAAAUGGUAGUGAUGCUUUACAUCUACAUGCUCUUACACAAUAUGAACUUUCAUUUAUUCAAGAACAUAACACUAAUCCAAGCUCUUACUCUACAAGUCAAUUCAGUUUGUAGAUGCAAGCCAUUGUAAAAACUUUUGUGUUAUAAUUUCCGUAAAUGGAACAUGACAUUACUAAUAUAGAAUCAGCAAUGUUAUAUAACUUAUCAGACAAUAUAACAAGCACUUGGCGAGCAUAUAAGAUAAACUAAAACAAGUUAAUUAGAAAAUGAAACUAAAACCCAAGCUCCGCUAUUCAUUGUAGAAGCUUUAAACAUAAAAUUAAACUAAAUCUAAUGCCAAAACAUUAGAAUGGAUGUUGGAAUUAAAGCUAAAUUCAAUAGUAAUCCAAAUGAAUCCAUUUGAACUUUGUAAACUCCGCAGAACAAAAUUAAUUUGAGUGAGCAAACUCACCAAUGGCACAAGAACAGAAGGGCUUCAACUUCUAGGAACAAAAAACAUUGCCGGUGGGACAAAAAUUGACAUUAAUGGCUACAAUACGAAUUAAAGAGAUCAAAACCUAUAAUUACAAGCUAAGAAAGAGAGGAAACUCAUAAUCACAAGCUUACCUGAAACGAAGAGAGAGAAUAAGAUGAAGAAGAAGAUCGCUGCCGUUUUACGCCAUUCUCCGGCUACCAGUAAGGUUUAGGAUGCUGGCCAGGCACGAGAGAGAAUUUGGGACUUUGGUCUUCAAAAUAUUGACUCCAGCAAAUAGUUUUCUAUUUAGAAACAAAUUUAUAACUCUACCGUCACUCUCUACCGUCACGUGGUUAGUAACAUAAGUGAGAGCAGUCUAGCCGUCACAUAAACGGUCACAAAAGCAACUGGCUGUUACAAGUUUAGGAAUGGCAGAUAUUGCCGCGGGGACAUGACCCUCGAGAUUUUCCCAAUUCAGGUGGGUACAUAAUUUUUUACUUAAUUUUUUAUUUGAAAAGGAGACGGAGAUAGUUUUUUUACCUAAUUUCUUAUUCAGAGAAAGAAUGGGGGAUCGGCAGAAUCCCUAUUCUCUUCUAAUUUUUUGAUUUAAUUUUAUUUUUUAAAAUUAUUUGUAAAUAAAUAAUAAAAUAUAAAUAAUAAAAUAUUAAAUAUUAGUAUAAAUAAAAAAAUAAAAUAAUUAUAUUAUUAAAAUUUAGGCCUAAUUGACUACAUUAAUAUUUGGAUGAGAAAGUUAUGCUUAGGAUGAAAGAUUUUAAUAUUUUGAGUUGGUGUAAAAUAAAUGUCUAUAGAUAUCCUAUACUGGCAUGAAUUGCUAGAGAUAUUUUGGCAAUUCUAAUUACAAAUGUUGCUUCUGAAUUAGCUUUUAGCACCAGUGGUAGAGUACCGUAACACGCUUUAUUCAAGCACAUUGGAGGCUUUAAUAUGUUGUCAAAGUUGACUACAAGCUUACAAUGACAGUAUGAGUUUAUUUUACAUUGUAAUUAUAUUAUAUAAUUAUUAAUAUUUUCACUUAGAAUUUACAUUACUUAUAUUAUUUUUGUUGUUUUAAAUUUGAAAUCUGAGGCUAUCUCUCAAUUUGUCACAUUCCUCGAGGAAGAACAAGAAGAGUAGGAGACACAAGAGGUAAAUACUUUUAUUAGAAAUAUUGAUUAAGUAUCUAUAUUCAUUUCAUUUAUCUCAUUGUUGAUAUAAAAGUAAUUUCUUUUUUUUUAUUAUAUGAUUUUGAAGAUUGCCGAAGAUAAUUAUUAUGGUGAUUUAUACUUUGUAAUGUGACUUUUGUAAUAGAUUAAUGUUAAUGUAAGAUAUAUCGUCAAACUUUAUUUUUAUUUUUAUUUUUUAUUUUAAUAUGAUUAAAUUAAAAUUUAAAACUAAAAACGUAUCAGUUAUUCGAGAAUCGAGGACCUUUAAGGAUCCCCUAUUAUUAUUUGGGGAGGGGAGGGGGAUUCCCUAAAGCAAUUUUGUGAAUGGGAAGAGGCCAGGGAUAUAUACAGAAUAUCGAGAAUGGGUACGGGGAGGUCGGUCUCUUCCCCUCCCCUUCCCAUUGCCAUUCCUAACAAAGUUGGCAAUACAUGUACGGGCCGCUUUUGUAAAAUUGCUUUAAGGGUCGUUUGGGAUUGCUUUUGGGAAUAGCAUGCAAGAUAUAUAUAAAAAAUAAAAUCGUAGAAUAACUUUUACCUCUAAUUCGAUUUUUUCUUCUUUUUUGUAAAUUAUUAUGCAUUUAUAUUAAAGUCACUGUGUAUGAUUGGAUUAUUAAAAGUUAUUUGAGAGAAUAUGAAUUGACUUAAUAAGUUAUUACGUGAUUGAUGAUGAUCAGAGCUUACCCAACUGGCAUUAAGUGGAAAAGACUCGAGGAUGACUUUGCAGAGCGAUUUCCCACAACACCUUUUUGGCAGUCUUAAACUACUACAAACAGUGGAUGAUGACUCAACUUGUUUUCCACUUGAUUUACUUGAGAGAUUUCAUAAUCUGGAAACUCUCAUACGGCGUCGUUGUUCAUGCGAAGAGGUAUUUUCGAAUGGAGGAUACUUGAAGAAACAUGUGAGGAAGUUUACAAUGAUAAAACAUUUAGAUCUGCACAAAUUUAAUCAUCUGAAGCAAUUGUGGAAACAAGACUCCAAAUUGGACUCGUUUGUUCAAUGCCUUGAAAUUCUAAAUGUACAUUAUUGUCAAAAUCUGUUAAUUCUUUUGUCUUUGCUGCUAAUUCUUUAAUUCUUUUCGGUUCUUAAGUUUCUCUGUGAUUUGUUCUGGAUUGAUUCUUUUUGCAUCUUGGUUGUUUGAUUUGCGAUCUUGGCGAGUAUUUGGAGUUGAUCAUUAUCGAAUCUGUCACUCCAAACUCUACAGCGACUCUUAUCAAUGUUGGUAUAUGGAUGCAGAGCAAUGAGAGAGGUGGUGAUAAAUGACGAAGAUGGAGCAGCAAAUUUUGAAGAAGAGAUUGUUUUCACCAAAUUGAAGAUUUUGUAUCUGUAUGAUUUGGAUAGUCUCACAAGUUUCUGCUCUGCCAAUUACACCUUCAAAUUCCCAUCUUUGGAAGAUUUAUCUAUAAUUGGUUGUCCCAAGAUGAAGAUUUUCACUAAAGGAGAAUUAAACGCGCCUCUCAGAGUAAACUUCUACUAUGGAGAGAGAGACGAUCAACAGCCUUGGGCUAAUAAUGAUCUUAACACAAUCAUACAGCAUUUACAUGCUGAGAAGGUACGAAUAACUCACUAUCACCAGUGGAAAAAUUUUAUAAAAUUUCUCUUUUAAAUAAAAUGCACCAAAUAGAUCAGAUAUUUGUUAUAAAGUAAGUUUAUGAUCACGUACUGGCAGAUGGGAUACAUAUGUGCUUCAUUCUUGAAACUCUACCCUAUUUAAAAUUGAUAUUUUCACAAGAGUUAGAGAAUCCUAUUCAUUCAAUUAUCCAAAAUCAGAGAAUCUUAUUCAUUCAAUUACAAAAUUUCGUUAAUCGUUAGUUUUUAACUUCAUUACUGUAUGGAAGUCCUGUCAAAUUAAAUUGCUGUUGUUAAAUUUAUUAAAUCUCUUGCUUCCCUGCAAAUCUCUGCGUGCUUUACUUUUAAUUGAAACUAAUGAAUGAAAAUUUUACUUUCAGCUGUUGGAGGGGUCCUCAUCUUAUUCAAUGAUGUAUAUGUCCUAAUGGCAUUGGCCUUUUACUUUAAUUACAAGCGAGUUGUGAAUUUGAAAAACAAAGUCCCAGGUAAUUCAAUUUCAUUUCAUUUUAUUUUAUUUCUUGGCUUGUUUUAUCGCUUCAUCUAAAUUGUUUGGAAUACACCACUAGUUUAUUUUUACUUUUAGAAUGAGUUUUAAUGUUUUGUUCUGAGAUUUAUAUGCUGAUUUUAUAUCAUUAAAGGUCUUAGUGACUUAGUUUGGUCUUCACUUAUUUAUUUAUUUAUUUUUUUGACGUCGUGGCUUUAUAAUGUGUUUUUUUUUUUAAUUUUGAAUUUUAUAAUUCCUUGAAAAUGUCAUUGAAAGGGCCAGCACUUUUAUGUGGAAACCAUCUCAUCCUCCUUAUUUCAAACUAUUAAACAACCAAAUGUAUCCUAACAUAUAUGUUUAGAAUCAAUCUACUCAUUAAGAUAUAUGGUAAUGGUGUCAUCUGUUUGCUAUAGUUUGAUUACAAGAGAACUUUUCCAUUUGUUAGUUGCCAUCUUUGUUGAUCUGUUAAUUCAGUCUUCUUCUGUUUGUCCUGUUUAUCUGUUUAUUUCAACCUUUCUUUCAAAACUUAGAAGGUAUGGAAAGAGCAAGUACUUAGAAAUUGCGAGAAUUAUAUCAAAUCAUGCAUAUAUGCCCCUGCCUAUGAACUCUUAGGAACAAUCGAAUAUCUUUCCUUGAAUAGCAUAAAACAAAAUCUACAGAUCAUUAAACCAUCAAAAGUUAGCUAUGAACAACUAUAUAAAAAUCAUUUGUUUCUCACCUUUUCGUGAGUCUGAGAAGUUGUAAAUUCUACUGAGUUUCUCACCUUUUUUUUUUUUUGGACAAUUGGAGUUUUUAGUUUAUGAAACUUAAUGCCUAUAUUUCUCACAUUGUAAAAGUGUUUUGAAAAGAUGGUUUAUAUUGCACCAUAAAAAUGUGGUCUGAUAAACCAACAGGGGAGUAGUUUGAUCCAGUUACGUGAAAUGCAUGCAAAAUAAUAUUUUCUCUAUAGUUACUGAAGAGAAUUUUGGUCACUUUGGUGUGCAUUAUCUGGAAUAAAGUCGUUUUCCAGUUUCUUCAAAGUUUAUGUGCGGAGGACUUCCGGUUUCCAUCUCAAGUUCAAAUACUAAUAAAGAUGAGUAAAUUCAUCAUCCGUGUGUCUGCUCUUUCUAUGCAUUUUGACAUUUUUUAUUAAUGCGUCUUUAACAGUAGUUUUUUUUCACAGAAAAAAUUGUCAGUAUUUUGUGUCAAAUAAAAAAUUAAAAAAUAUAUAUGUAUUUUGGGCGAAACUUUUUGCGAAAAAUAAUGAGUGCCAACACUUUAUAACUUAAUAUGUAUUUUGGGCUUGGCGAAGUUACGGUUCAUGUAACUAAUCAAUUUAAUCAUUACCGGAUAAAAUUGAAUACACCAGUAGUGUUUUUCCACGGAGAUAUUGCCAAAUUUUGUGUCAAAUAAAGAAUAAAAACCAUAAAUACCAGUAGUGUCCGAUUUUGAAAGCAAAGCAGCAUACAUAUUAACUACUAGGCUUUGAUGGUGGUUGCAGUAAAAAGGAUUAAAAGAGAGAGAGAGAGAGAACUUGAAAACUAUGGAAUGGAAGAUAAAUCAAAGUUAUAAAUUUGGACUCAAUAGUUUUGAUGUUCAAUCAAAUAUGGAGGGGCGAUUAGAAAUUAUCAAAAAUUUAGAGGGAUUUCAACCGUUCAAUUCAUUAUUAGGCGUUGUAGACUGCAGGGAUGCAGAAAUUUCCACAGGGACGAUGGCCCCGAGGGAUCUUCCUCAUUCGGGAGUUUGAUAAUUUUAGAUCUAAUUUUUCUAUGUGGAGACAAGACUGUGAUCAAUUAAUAUGUGUGGGUGUAAGUUACAUGAAAUAUAACUUAGUGUUUGCCCUAAUAUUUUAUUUGGCUCCACAUUUUUCUAUUUCUAUCUUUAGUUCUAUUUUUAAUUAAUUUAUUUCAAAUUUAUAGUAAAUACAUUUAAAAUUUCAAUUAUAAUAGUGUGAUGUAAAUAAAAAAUAUCACAAUACAUUUAUAAAAAUAAUAUAAAUAACAGCCAAUAUAAAGUAAAUAUAAACAUUUUAAAAUUGACAAAGAUAAUUUAAUUGAUGGUUUAUACUAUAUGACAUUUAUGGAUGAGUUCAACUUUGAAGAUUUACUUUUGCUUAAUUAGUUCAAAGAUUAUCUUCUAAUUUGAUGACAUUGACUUAAUUUGAUGGAAAUGAUUUUAAUCACUUUAGUUAAUUUGAUAUUUUUUGUGUUAAUAUGAUUUUAUAUUUUUACUUUAAGAUGAUUAAAUUAAGAAAAAAAAGAAAUUAAAUAAUCAGAGAUCGGAUAGCAUCGGAGAUCCCUUUGUAUUAUUUAGAAACAUCCAUCCCCUUCUUUCAAGUGAUUUUGAAGGAAAUGUCUAGAGUACAAAGAGAUAGACAGAGUAUUAAAGAUGAGUAUGGGGAAAUCAAUCCCCUCUCCUUCCCUUCUUAUUGACAUCUUUACAUGUGAGCCCAAGGGGAAAUGCACCAUGCCUGAUAAAAGUAAAAUUAAAAAUAAAAAUUUUCUUUUAUCAAAUCACUCUAUGUGGUGGAGAUUAUUGUAUAAUCAAGUACACAUGGCAUUUUUAAAAGCUUUUUCUUUAUUUAAAGCUCUAAAGGUUUGCCUAAGAGUCAAGGUUGGUGCCGUUCUUCUAGAAGAACAACCCGUAUCUUUUGAUAUUCAAAGUUUGAAUAUCAAGUUCAAACUUUAAAUUUUGAAAUAAUAAUAAUAAUAAAUAUAAAAAGUGCCAAAUUUUUAGCUAUAAAUAGAGGGGUUCACCCCCUCAUUUCACUCAUUCCAUUCUUUUCUUCUUUAGUUCUAUAAUGAGAGAGUAAGAGUUUUAUACUCUUGAGUGACUAGUGUUUAGAGAGAUUGGGUGUAUUAAGGUUUUGAUAAGUGAAACAAAAUACUAAAAUACUUAUAAUUCUCAUUUCACUAGUAAAGUUUUAUCCUUUUGUCCUUGCCUAUGGGCAUAAGUUAAAAGCCGAACCAAAUAAUUUAUGGUGUCCUCUGUGUGCUUGUUCUUCAUUUUCUUCCAAUUUCAUUUUAGUCGUGGCCCUACUUCACCAAUCAAUUUUCUAAUAGUGGUAUUAGAGCCGGGUUGUAUUUUUUGGGGUCGAGAUACUAUUUACAUAUAUUGUAUUGUUCAUGUAUAUGAUAUUGUUUCUGUAUACGACACUUUAUUCAUAUAUACAGUUACUGCUCAUGUGAAAUGGUAGGAAUCGAUCUUAGCAAAGGUAGCUCGUGGUGAAAAGUGAUGGCGGAAAAAUACAAAAUUGAGAAGUUCAACAGAAAUAAUUUUUCGUCAUGAAAAAUGAAGAUGAAGGUUGUAUUGAGGAAAAGUAAUUGCUUGGCAGCAAUUGAAGAGAGGCUCACAAAGAUAACUAAUGAUGGCAAGUGGAAUGAGAUAGACAAUAAUGCCAUUGCAUAUCUACACUUACCACUUUCAGAUAGGGUAUUUUUCAAUAUGGUAGAGUAAAAGAGAGUAAAGGAAAUAUGGUUUACUCUCACAAGACUAUACGAGGUCAAAUCACUACAAAAUAAAAUCUUCUUAAAGAUGAGGCUUUAUACUCUUCAAAUGGAGGAAUCUACAUCAGUGAUCGACCAUAUCAACACUUUAAAGACUUUAUUUUCAUAACUUACAACGUUGGGUCAUAAAAUAGAGGAAAAUAAACAUAUAGAGCUUUUACUUCAAGGUUUACCAGAUUCGUAUGAUCAAUUCGUCAUUAAUAUAACUAAUAACAAUCGAGCAAACAAGUUAGUCUUUGACAAUAUGGCAGCCUCCGUAUUAAAUGAGGAGAGUAGCAAAAAAUAAAAAAGAUAGACAGAAGAGUUCGCAACAAGUAGAAGCGCUAUUGGUGAUGAAAGGAAGAUCCAUGGAACGUGGCCCUAGUGAGAGCCACAGUCACGGUAGAUCAAAAUCUAGAAGUAAAAAGAAUGUCAAAUGCAACAACUGUUGCAAGAAAGGGCAUGUCAAGGAAGAGUUUUGGAACAACUAGAAGAGAAGAGAUGGUAAAGAUUCUGAGUCAUCAAAUGCUCAAGGGUAUGUAGUAAGUACCUCGUAUGAUGGCAAAAUUCUCUACAGUAAGGCAACAACUGCUUCAGAAGAUAGAAAACCACUAUAUGACAUCUGGCUUAUAGACUUAAUAGUUGCCUGGCACAUGAUCUCUCCAAGAGAAUGAUUUCACAAAUAUGAACCUAUUUCAAGAGAAUUUGUAUACAUAGGUGAUGAUUAUGCCUUUGAGAUUACUGAUAUUGGUACUGUCAAAAUAAAUAUGUUUAAUGGUAUGGUUCGCACAAUUGAGAAGGUAAGACAUGUCAAAGACUUGAAAAAUAUCUCUUGUCUUUAGGACAAAUAGAUAGUCUUACGCGCAAAACUCAUGUAGAAAAUGGGAUCAUAAAGAUAGUCAAAGGCGCACUUGCAUUAAUGAAGGUGGAAAAGAUCGGUGAUAAUUUAUUCAUGCUUAAAGGGAAACACUACAGAAAGCUUUUGUGUCAGUCACAUCAAAUAGAGAAAAUUCAGUGAUGAUGUGGCAUCUUAAACUUGGCCACAUGUCAAAACAAGGAAGCAACAUAGAUGAAAGUUUAGCAGAUCCACUUUCAAAAGUAAAUGUAUUUUAGACUUGAUUCAUUCUAAUGUUUGGGAAUCAAUUGAUAUAUCUAUGGGAGGUGCAAAGUACUUGGUGACUUUUAUUAAUGAUUAUUCUAGGAGAUAUUUGGUGUAUCCAAUCAAGAAAAGGUCAAAUGUAUUUCCAUUGUUCAAAGAAUUCAAAGCGUAGAUUGAACUUAAAUCAGGGCAAGGGAUCAAGUGCCUGAGGACAGACAAUGGUGGAGAGUAUACAAAUAGCAUGUUUCUUGCAUAUGUAAGCAAGAAAGUAUCUAGAGAUAGUUCACGGUGGCAUACACUCCUCAAUAAAAUAGAGUAGUAGAGUGAAAGGGCAUGACUCUUAUAAAAAAAAAAAGAGUUAUGUUGAGAAAUGCUGGUCUACCAACUCAUUCUAGGUGGAAGUAGCAAAAACUACUUAUUAUGUGGUAAGUGGGUCAUCAUUCAAUGCAACCGGGUUGAAAAUUCCAAUGGAAAAAAUAGACAGGAAAGCCAGUUGAUUACUCUCAUCUCAGGCAUUUUGAUGUCCUUUUACGUGAUAUACAAUACCCAAGUGAGAUUAAAGAUGGAUCCAAAAUCCAAGAGAUGUAUCUUCUUAGGAUAUAUUGAUGGAGUGAAAGGGUAUUAUCUGUGGGACCUCAAUGCCCAUAAGAUCGUUAUCAGUAGAGAUAUUAUCUUUGUAGAAGAUCAAAUGCAAAAGAGAGAUAUGGAUGAUAGCACUAUAAAAAUUCAGAGAUUGUGCUAAUAUAUGUUGAAAAUAAUCUGGAAAAUGAAGAUUUAGAUUUUUUUGAAGCAGCACCAAAGUAUGAGAACAAGAACCAAUCGAGUCUGAGGCCCCAAAAGUUUGUUGGUCAACUCGUGAUAGAUAAUUGUCAGUGUGGCAUUUGGAUUAUGUCACAGAUAUCAAUUUUGCAUACUGUCUUUUAAUAGAGAAUGGAAAGCCAUCAACUUUUCAUGAAACCUUAAACAGCUCAGAUGUUACUUUGUGAAUGAUAGCAAUGCAGGAAGAAAUUAAGGCUCUACACAAGAAUAUGACAUAGGAACUCGUACUACUACUAUAUGAAAAAAAAAAGACCCAUUGGUUGGAAAUGGGUCCAUAAGAUCAAACGUGAUGGUAAUAACCUAGUGGAGCGGUAUCAUGAAAGAUUGGUGAUGGAAGAAUAUCCUUAGAAAGAAUGUAUUAACUUCAAUGAGAUAUUUUCUCCAGUGAUUUGACUCAGGACAGUCAGAGUGGUCUUGUCGAUGUGUGCUACAUUUGACCUAUAUUUGGAGCAGUUAGAUGUGAAAAUUUCAUUUCUUUAUGGAGAACUUGAAGAAAAGAUUUCUAUGCUCUAACUAGAAGGUUUUACUAAAAAGGGACACUUGGUUUGCAAGUUAAACAAAUCUCUAUACGAUCUCAAACAUGCACCGAGAUGUUGAUAUAAGAGAUUUGAUCCAUUCAUCAUAAACCUUGGAUACAAUAGAAUCAGUUCAGACUGUUGUACAUAUUACAACAAGUUUGAUAAUAAUAAUUUCAUCAUUCUACUGUGGUAUGUUGAUGACAUAUUAGUAGCAGGCCCCAACAAAGAUCGAGUCCAAGAACUAAAGCACAGUUAACUAGGGAGUUUGAAAUAAAAGACUUAGAACCAGCAAACAAGAUUUUAGGGAUGCAAAUUCACCGAGAUAGUAAUAGCAAAAAGAUUUGGCUUUCUACCCCGCCUCCCAUUAAUUUCAAGUUAUUCUUAAGUAUUCAUCUAGUAAUGAAGUAGAGAAGAAGAGAUGUCUUGAGUACUGUAUGCAUCAGCAGUGGAAAAUUUAAGGUUCGCUAUGAUUUGUACAAGUAGUGGGAGAGGUUAGUCGAUACAUAGCGAAUCCUUGCAAAGAACAUUGGAAGACUAUUAAGAGGAUUCUGAGAUAUAUCAUAGGAACAUCAGAUGUUGCAUUAUGUUACGAAGGAUACUGUCAAGGGCCAUGUGCAUUCAGAUUUUGCAGAAAAUCUUAAUAAAAAAAAAUCCACUACUGGCUAAGUAUUUGCACCAGAAUGAGAAAUUGUUAGUUGGAUUUCAAAAUUGCAGACCAUUGUGGCUUUAUCAACAACAGAAGCAGAUUACAUAGCAGCUACACAAGCUUGGAUGAGCUAUUUAGAUACAAAGGUUACUGAAGGAGCUUGGGCAUAAAAUUUUUUAUGGCUUGUGAUAGUUAGAAUGCAAGGAAUCCAACCUUUUAUUUUAGGACAAAGAAUAUAGGAGUACAAUAUCACUUCUUCGUGAAGUAGUGAAAGAUAUAAGAGUGGAUACCAAGGAGAACUUAACAAAUGUUUUGCCCAAGCCUAUCAAUGCUGAUAAAUUUGUUUGGAGUAGAUCAUUUUACGGCCUAGUAGAGACAUAAACAACAUGACAGCGGCGAAGUAGAAAGGAUGGUGUGGAGAUUGAUUGAUUCUCAAUCAAAUUUCUAAGUGGGAGAAUAUCAAAGUCAAUGUCGCUUUUCUAGAAGAGCGACCAAUACCUUUUGAUAUUCAAAGUUUGAAUGUCAAGUUCAAACUUUGAAUUUAAUAUAUAUAUAUAUAUAUAUAUAUAUAUAUAUAUAUAUAUAUAUAUAUAUAUAUAUAUAAAUAGUGCCCAAAAUUUUAACUAUAAAUGAGGGGUUCACCCCUGCAUUUCAUUCUUUUCUUCUUCAAUUCUAGUGUGAGAGACUAAGAGUUUUAAUGCUCUUGAGUGAUUAGUGUUUUAAGAGAUUGAGUGGAUUGGGGUUCUGGGAAGUGAAACAAAAUAUUAUAAUACUAGUAAUCCUCAUUUCACCACUAAAGUUUUAUCUUUUGUCUUUACCCAUAGACGUAGGUUAAAAGUCGAACCACGUAAUUUUUAGUGUCCUCUGUGUGCUUGCUCUUCAUUUUCUUCCAAUUUUAUUUUAGCUAUGGACCUACUUCACCAGUAAAUUGAAGACGUUGGAACUGCGUGAUUUAGAUAGCCUCACAAGUUUCUGCUCUACCAAUUACACCUUCAAAUUCCCAUCUUUGCAAGAGUUAUGUGUGAUUGGUUGUCCCAAGAUGAAGAUUUUCACUACAGGAGAAUCAAUCACGCCGAGUAAACGUCUGCUAUGGAGAGACAGCGGAUCAACGGCGCUGGGCUAAUAAUGAUCUAAACACAACCAUACAACAAUUACAUGCUGAGAAGGUACGUAUAUACAUAUUACUCUCUAUCUCCCAUGAUAAAUUUUUACAAAAUUUGCUUUCUUAAAUACAAUAUAGAUAAGAUAUUUGAUGAAUAAGAAUUUUAUUUUAAGCUGUUGGCGGUGUCGUCGUCAUACUCUACGCAGUAGUACGACUAAUGUCAUAGGCUUCUUAUGACCUGGAGUUGCGAAUUUUUAGAAGAAAGUCUCAACUGGUAAUUAAUUUUUAUUUCAUUUAUUUAAUCCCAUGGCUUGUUUCGCAAUUUCAUCUGAAUUAUUUAGAAUGGGUCCCUCGGUUUACUGUUAAAUUUGCAAUGCAAUUUUAAUGAUCCUUUCAGACUUUUAUGGACAGAUUUUGCAAAAUUGAAUGUCUUUUAGUCUAGUUUAAUUUGAGUUUUUCUUUUUUUUUUUAGAGCUCCCCAUGUUUUCUAAAAUUUUAUAAUUCCUUGCAUACUUUUUAGGAUAAAAUUUCAUUAAAAGCCUUCAUAUUUUAUAAUUCCUUGAAAACUUGCAUACUUUUUCCUUUUUUUUUCUUGCCAAUUAUUUAUUGUCAUCAUUGCUGUUCUUUUAUUUUAGUUUGUGCUCUGUUUGUUCAUUGGGUUUGCUUUUCGGAAAGUUAGAAGGCAAGGAAAGUACUUAGAAAAUGUUCUUCCCUAUGAACACAUAAUUAACAGCUGAAUAUCAUUCAUUGGAUUAAAAAAAAUUAAAAUAAAAAAAAGUAAUAAGCCCAUUAUUCCUAGAACAAAUCCUUAAACCAUCAAACGUUAGCUAUGAACAAGUAUAUUGGUCUAUAGCAUAUUCAUAAUAUUUUCUCUGCUGUUCCUGUUAAAAUUUCUCUACUCAAUGAUCGCAGAAUAUCUGGAUACUGAUGAAGAUUUAAGUCACUCUUCUUCUAUGAAUAAGGUCGUUUUUCUUUUUUCUUCUAUUCAAAGUUUCCAUUCUGAGCAGUUCCCAUUUCCAUCUUCGUGAUCUUCUUGUGAUAGUGUGAGUUACAACCUGUCUGUUUCCUUUGUUUGAUCAUUGCAAGUUCAAAGACAUUUUAUUCUAGCUAAGCUCUUUGUAUGUAUUAUAACAUUUUUAUUCUCAAUAUAUAUAUGACUCAAUGAGAGGUCUUUUAUUAUAUUUAUGUCGUGAAUUUCUAUUGUAUUGUGACAUUUGAUGGUGUAUCAUUGUCUCAUUGCAAGGUCUUGUAAUCACUCUGAUUCUCAUUUGAGGAGGUUGGUCUCGUCUAUGUGUAUGUAUUUAUAUCCACAAGAAAUUUGAUAAAUGGUCUUGUCAUUUUCUCAUCAAAACAUCUAGUGCUUCAUAUGUUGGAGGGCUACCAGGCAUCAGGGCCAGUUUUUUAAACUCAAAGUUCUUCCUGUCAUUUUUUAACAAUAAUAAGGAAAGCCCAAGAGAAAAUCUAGAAGUCCUAAUAAGGACCGCUUCUGCAUAUAUUGUUCAUUUUCUUAAUUACCUUCAUUAUUAUUUUCGUUUUCAAUCGAUCAAACUUCAGUUUCUUAGCAUUAAUCUAAUUAUGUACUUCAUCUUGAAAUCCUUAAAUUACCCAUCAAAAUGUGAACGAUUAGUGUAUCAUUUUUGCACUAUAAGAAAUAGUUGUAUUACCGACCAGACAUUUCCACAAUAUACUAUUGAAAAUAAGUACUUUUUACAAAGGUAUUGUCAUUGAUGAGCCGUUGGAUAAAUAUGAAAAGUAUCAUACCUCGGUGAUAAAGAAAAUUCGUUUGUCGGAAAUGGAAUGUCGAGCCCAAAAUUACUCUAAACUUGGUAAAGUUAGAUUUUGGCCCAAUUUGUUUGAAAGUUUUAUACAUAAAGCACUUUUUUUUUUAUGUAAUUUGUGCAAUCUGAAGGGAGGUAUUGUAAAAUUAACAUAAAUAAAUGUAAUAUGCCAAUACCGUUUAAAACAAAAAAGAUAUCAUGAAAUUGAAAAAAAAUAAAUAAUAAUAAUAAUAACAACAUUAAAAGAAAAAGGAAAUUACGGAGAAGAAUAAUCGCUUCUUGAUCUCAACUCUCAAUUUGAAUACAAUCUCUGAAUCUCACUUCUCGAUCUGUCUCCAUUCUUCAUUCGCAUUUACUCGGUGGUAAUUAAUUCUUCACUCUCACUCGCCUUAUUUCCUGCAGAUUUCUUCAUUUUCCUUCACUGUUCGUUUUUAAGGUUCCAUUGUAUUUCCAUUGAGUUUGCAACUGUUCAAUUGCUCGAUCCACAUUAGUUUUAAGGUACGAUUGUUGGUUAUUUUCCUAAUCAAUAGACAACCCUAGAUACGAUCAUAGGAUUUAAUCAAUUGACAGUCUGAAAAAUCAGAGAGACCCAAAUCCUAAUCAACAAACGCAUACGAUGAUUCAUUUAAAUUAGAUUGUUUAUUCUCAUAACACAAUGCACUGCUAUGCUAUUUGUCACAAACAUUAAAAUCUUCAUACGAUAAAUCUUUUAAUUGACAAUAGAUUAAGUUGAUAAUUAAAUAGUAGCCAAUUAUCUAAUUAACAAACAUAAUCAUGACAAUAAUUCAGAGAAUAAACAAAUACCCAAAAAGUAAUAAAAUAAUUAAAGUAUAAGAAAGAUCUCACAGCAGUGAUGAAUCAAAGUUUCAUUAACCUUCAACCAGAAUAAUAGAUUUAGUUUUUCAUAGACAGGAGAGAAAAAUUUAGAUCUAGGGUUUCUUUCUCUUCAAAAAUCUCCGUCUUUGACAAUAGAUUCCUCCCUUAAAUUCUCUUCUCUCUCUUCUCCUCUAGAGUUCUUUUUAAAAUAAAAUACUAAUUUCUAAAAUAUUAUCUAAAUAUUAAAUGCGUAAUUACAAAAAUAACUAAAAAUACAAAACACGUUAAACUAAAAACUGCAGGUCCGUAGUAGACAGCAUGCGCCCACACCUUAUCAACAAAGUUCUUCUGAAGCUCAUAAUUUCUUCAAGAAAACAAUCAUCCUCAAACAUCAUCUUGUAGCUCAAUUUUAGCACCAAUCAAUAAAAUUGCACCUACCAAAAUAAAACACAAGUAAAUCACUAUUAUUAAGUGCAAAACAUCGAUAUUAAAAGAAGUAAAUAAUGCAAAACUAGUGCAUAAAUUGUACUCUAACACUUCAUUCCGAUCCCUUGAUCAUUACUCAUUUAUUUAUUUAUUCUUUGCUUCACUUCUAAGCUUAGCAAAGGAACUUGAACUUUGGCUUUUCAAAUAGGUCACUUUUGCUUUUAAUCUCGCCCAUGAUCUUCAUCAUGAAGAUGACAAACCAUUAUUCUUUAUUCUUCACUUUUGCUUUUAAUCUCGCCCAUGAUCUUCAUCGUGAAGAUGACAAACCAUUAUUCUUUAUUCUUCACUUGUUGAAUUUACAGAAUAUAUAGCAUUCUUAAAAUUUUAGCAAAUCGUUAUUCUUCAGCUUCAGCACCUCAUUAAAAAGUCAUUCUUUGAACUUAUUCUCAAUCAAGAAAAACAUAUGCGUUCGUUCGUUGUAGUCACUGUUGUUUUGUUAUUAAUGUUUGCUCCCUAUUGCCGUUAACUCUCUUGAGCUUCACAGGAUCAGGAAACCCUUUUCUCUUGGCAUCUGUUUUGUUGUAAUCUCUCAGUCCUUGUUGAUUAGUUUCUCUCCGCUCCCAAUUUAGUUGUGUCCUGCUGUUGUCUCUGUUUUGUUCCAUAUCUACUCUCUGCACUUCUGCUGUGUCAAGACAUCUUCUUUUGUUCAUUCGGUUGUGGUCUAUAAUAUAUUUUUCAUCUUUCUUUUGGUCUAUACUUAAGUUAUUUUGAUUGGUUCCUUUCUCCUUUAUUAUCUAAAUCCCUCCUUAUAUUUAUUCAAUCAGUUGUUACGCUUUCUUUCAUUUCUCCGCUUCCACAACCAGAUAAACUGUCCAUCUUUGUUGUUUCUUCUUUUUUCUCUUCUGUGGUUGGCUCUUGUUUAUUUGCUUUUCAGAACUCAAAAAAAAAAAAAAAAUAGAAGGAUCAAAGAUGGUGGAAACCAUUAUUACUGUUGUUUUGGAAGUUGUGAAAUGCUUGGCUCCUCUAGCAGAACGCCAACUUGGUUAUUUACGUAACUAUAAAACCAACUUUGAGAAUCUCAGGGCAAAAUUUGAUGAACUCAAGGAUGAAAGUAGGAGCAUUCAGCACAGAGUUUCUGAGGCUGAAAGAAAAGGAGAAAAGAUUGAAGAGAAGGUUGAAAAGUGGCUGGUUAGUGCAAACGACAUCAUUGACAGCGCAGCCAAAUUCAUUGAAAAUGAGGAGUCAACGAAUAAGCGUUGUCUCAAGGGCUUGUGUCCUAAUUUGAAGACCCGCUAUCAGCUUAGCAAGAAAGCAGAGACAGAAAUGAAGGCCCUUGUUGAACUUGGAGAAGAAGUAAAGAAGUUUGAUAUUGUUUCCCACCGUACCAUUCCGGAGGAGAUUUGGCUCAAGUCUCACAUAGGCUACGAGGCCUUCGAAUCAAGACGUUCUACUUUGGAGGCUAUAAAAAAAGCAUUGAUCGAUGUUAGCAUCAUUGGGGUGUACGGCAUGGGCGGCAUUGGAAAGACGACACUGGUGAAGGAGGUCUCCAGGCAAGCUAUGGAAGCCAAGCUCUUUGAUAUGGUGGUCUUUUCAGAGGUUUCGCAAACUCCAGACAUAAAAAAGAUUCAACAGGAAAUUGCCGAGAAGUUGGGCCUGGAGUUGCGCGAGGAAGUUGAAUCUGGAAGAGCAAGUAGACUAUUUGAGCGAUUGAGAAAUGAGAAGAAGAUCCUUGUGGUUUUAGAUAACAUCUGGAAACACCUUAAUUUGGAGACUGUUGGAAUUCCUUUUGCAGAAGAUCAUAAAGGAUGCAAACUACUGCUGACAGCAAGAGAUCGUAGUGUCCUCUUACAAAUGGGAUCCAAAGACAACUUUUUGAUAAACAACUUAAAAGAAGAAGAAGCCGGGAGAUUGUUUAAGAUGAUGGCCGGUGAUGAUGUUGAAAAUCGUGAGUUGAAAUCUACAGCAAUAGACGUCGCCAGGGCAUGUGGAGGUUUGCCCAUUGCCUUGAGUACGGUAGCAAAGGCAUUGAGAGGCAAGAGUCUGCAUGAAUGGAAGAAUUCCUUGCGAGAACUCCGAACGCCUUCAAUGGUAAACUUCGAAGGAGUAUCUGCAGAGACUUAUGCAAGUAUUGAGCUGAGUUUCAACCAAUUAAAAGGUGAACGCAAGGAAAUUUUUCAGCUCUGCAGUCUAAUGGGUAACCGUAUUUUUACUUUCGACUUGUUUAAGUACUCCAUGGGUUUGGGUAUAUUUAAAGGAGUCAAUAAGAUGGAAGAUGCACGAGACAAAUUAUAUGCAUUGGUCCAUGAACUUAGAGACUCUUGUUUGUUGCUUGAGGGUGAGAGCAAUGAACAAUUGUCAAUGCAUGAUGUUGUUCGCGAUGUCGCGAUAUCAAUUGCAUGCCGCCAGCAACAUGUGUUUUCGGUGAGGAAUGAGGAUGUGUGGGACUGGCCAGAUAAGGAUGCACUUCGAAAUUGCAAAGCUAUCUCUUUAAUAAAAAAUAGUAAUCGUGAAUUUCCUGAAGGAUUAGAAUGCCCAAACCUUGAAUUUUUAUAUAUCUCUCUCAAAGAUUUUUCUCUUGAAAUCAAUAUUCCUGAGAACUUUUUUGUAGGGAUGAAAAAGCUUAGAGUUCUAGAUUUUACUCGAAUGCAGUUUUCUUCUUUUCCAUCUUCAAUUGAUCUUCUAGUAAAUCUUCACACACUAUGUCUGGAUAAAAGUGCGUUGGGCGACAUAGCAAUCAUUGGGAAGUUGAAGAAUCUAGAAGUCCUUAGCUUUUUGAAGUCUGAUAUAACGCAGUUGCCAGAAGAACUAGGUCAAUUGAAUAAGUUGAGAUUGUUAGAUUUAACCAAUUGUUUCCGUCUGAAAGUUAUUGCCCCAAAUGUCAUAUCAAGCUUAAUCCGAUUAGAAGAGCUGUAUAUGGGUAAUUGCUCCAUUGAAUGGGAGGUUGAAAGAGCCAACAGCAAAAGAAGUAAUGCUAGCCUUGAUGAAUUGAUGCAUUUACCUCGGCUAACCACUCUAGAAAUUGAUGUUAAAAAUGACAGUAUGUUACCAGAAGGUUUUUUGGCCAGAAAGCUCGAAAGGUUCAAAAUAUCUAUUGGAAAUGGGUUAUUCACACAUCCCAUGAUUGCUGAACAAAAUUGGUUCCAAAGUCUGCGGCGCUUUUCUCGCAAAAGUGAUCGCAAGAGUUUAAGAGCAUUGAAGCUCAAGCUUGCUUUUAUGGACAUUUGCUCCAUGAAAUUGCAGGGCAUCAAUAACGUAGAAUGCUUAUGGUUGGACAAGCUGCAAGGCAUCGAGAAUGUUCUUUUCAAUUUGGACACAGAGGGCUUUUCACAAUUGAAGCUUCUCUGGGUUCAAAAUAAUCCUGACAUCUUUUGUAUCGUCGAUUCAAGGGCGAUGGUCGCUUGUGAUGCCUUUCCUCUUUUGGAGUCACUUGGCCUUCACAAUUUGAUCAACAUGGAGAGGAUAUGUAUUGAUCGGCUCAAAGUAGAGUCCUUCAACGAACUCAAAAUCAUACAAGCAUAUAAUUGUGAUAAAUUGAGUAAUAUCUUUUGGCUCUCUACAACAAAAUGCCUUCCAAGACUUGAGAGAAUUGCAGUUAUUAAUUGCAGCAAGAUGAAAGAGAUUUUUGCAAUUGGGGAAGAAGUUGAUAAUGCAAUUGAGAAGAUAGAGUUUGCUCAAUUAAGAUCUUUGAGUCUGGGGAAUCUUCCAGAGUUUACAAGUUUUUGCCGUGAGGUGAAGACUCCUUCAGCAUCACCAAACAGACCAGCGUCGCAGGAGGAAUCGACGACUACGUAUAGCUCCAGCGAAAUCACUUUGGAUACUUCAACUCUGCUUUUCAACGAGAAGGUGCGUAGGCUAACAUUUUCUUUAUUCUAUCAUGCGUUCUGUUUUGAUGUCAUACGUGGAAAAUAAUUAAAUCAUUUAAAGAAUUGAAAGAAAAUGGAAAAAAGGAUAAAAAGAAUCUCACGCGCUCACUAAUUGAGCUCUUAACAAGUAGUAUGAAUUAGAAUGCAUACUCAGCUGUCAGUUGGAAAUUGAUUCAGACUUGCAUUAAUUUGUAAUCAAAGAAGAAAAUUUCAACAAGUGCUUCCCAUAUGGAUAUUGGAUCUAACGAGAAAUUCUUCUUUUUUUAGGUUGCGUUGCCUAACUUGGAGGCUUUGGAGAUAUCUGCAAUUAAUGUCGACAAGAUUUGGCACUACAAUCAAAUUCCAGCGGCCGUGCUUCCUCACUUUCAAAGUUUAACACGAUUGAUUGUGUGGGGUUGUCACAAAUUAAAAUACAUAUUUUCAGCGUCUAUGAUCGGAAGCCUUAAGCAGCUCCGACACCUAGAUAUACGCUUCUGUGAGGAUUUAGAGGAGAUCAUUUCUGAAAACAGAGCAGAUGAAGUUAUCCCUUAUUUUGUCUUUCCACAGCUCACCACUCUAAGACUCGAAUGUCUACCAAAACUUAGAUGUUUGUACCCUGGAAUGCAUACUUCGGAAUGGCCCGCACUAGAAAUUCUUUUAGUGGGUCGUUGUGACAAAUUAAAGAUAUUCGAUGCAGAUUUAUCGCAGAAUAAUGAGAAUGAUCAACUUGGUAUUCCUGCACAACAGCCCCUAUUGCCGUUGGAAAAGGUACGAAGCCAUUUUCUAGAUUUUUUAUCAAUAGCGUAUUUUUAACUUCGAAAAAAAUGACAAAGCAUCGAUAAAUUAACACUCAAUAAAUUGAAAACUUUUAUUAUACAAUAAUCUUUGCUAGUCUAGAUUAAGAGAUCAAUGUGGUAGAUUAAUAAUUAUAUGAACUUUUUAAGGUAUAGCAUUUAUAAAAGAAUCCUUAGUCUUUCCAUAUAGAAGAACUUACAAAAUAAAUUAGUAAUUUAUUAUUGUGCAAUAAAAUAAUUUCAAACCAGUAUAAAUCAACCUUUUUUCCCUAAUUUCUUUUUUACCUCUAAAAUUAACAUAUAAAAUAAAUUUUAUCAAUAAUUCAUUUUUUUUUUAAAAUAUAAUAUAAAACAAAUACUAUAAAGUCACUGCGUGUGACCGUAGAUCAUCAAUUGACCUCAUUAGUUAUUAUGAUUGAUGAUGAUCAGAUCGUACCCAACUUGAAGGAACUAUCACUAAGUGGAAAAGAUGUGAAGAUGAUUUUGCAGGCCGAUUUCCCACAACACCUUUUUGGCAGUCUUAGAGAACUAGAGAUUGCUGCAGAUGACUCAGCUGGUUUUACAAUCUGGAACGUACUGGAGAGAUUUCACAAUCUCGAAAUACUCACACUGUUGUUUUUUUCAUCCCACGAAGAGCUAUUUUCGAUGGAAGGAUGCUUACAGAAACAUGUGGGGAAGUUGGCAAUGAUAAAAGAAUUACAGCUGCGCUGGCACUAUCAUCUGGAGCAGCUGUGCAAGCAAGACUCCAAACUUGGCCCCAUUUUUCAGUAUCUUGAAAUUCUAAAAGUAUAUCAUUGUCAAAGUCUGUUAAUUCUAUUGCCAUCAUCAUCGGUAUCUUUUGGGAACCUAACAAAACUUGUAGCUUUCGGUUGCAAGGAAUUGAUACACUUGGUAACAUCCUCCACAGCAAAAACUCUGGUGCGACUCAUAGCAAUAGAAAUAUAUGGAUGCAGAGCAAUGACAGAGGUGGUAAUAAAUGACAAAGAUGGAGUUGAAAAAGAAGAGAUUGUUUUUAGCAAAUUGAAGACGUUGGGACUGUUUGAUUUAGAUAGCCUCACAAGUUUCUGUUCUGCCAAUUACACCUUCAAAUUCCCAUCUUUGGAAUAUCUGGAUGUGAUUGGUUGUCCCAAGAUGAAGAUUUUCACUACAGGAGAAUCAAUCACGCCUCUAAGAGUAAACGUCUGCUAUGGAGAGACAGCGGAUCAACGGCGCUGGGCUAAUAAUGAUCUAA
RNAcentral lists this long non-coding RNA (28569 nucleotides) under Citrus maxima (pomelo). RNAcentral describes it as "long non-coding RNA (CMAX_LNC001250)". Lineage: Eukaryota; Viridiplantae; Streptophyta; Magnoliopsida; Sapindales; Rutaceae. The record is from RNAcentral.